CUCGUAGGCGGCCAACUAAGUCAGACGUGAAAUCCCUCGGCUUAACCGGGGAACGUGCGUCUGAUACUGGAUGGCUUGAGAUUGGGAGAGGGAUGCGGAAUUCCAGGUGUAGCGGUGAAAUGCGUAGAUAUCUGGAGGAACACCGGUGGCGAAGGCGGCAUCCUGGACCAACACUGACGCUGAGGAGCGAAAGCCAGGGGAGCAAACG
Molecule: ribosomal RNA, 208 nt
Filed under: uncultured bacterium
Lineage: Bacteria
Description: partial 16S ribosomal RNA
Rfam family: Bacterial small subunit ribosomal RNA
Source: RNAcentral